This 497-nucleotide ribosomal RNA is filed under the name uncultured bacterium. RNAcentral's name for it is "partial 16S ribosomal RNA". It matches the Rfam family "Bacterial small subunit ribosomal RNA", at positions 28 to 507 of the family's 1533-position model. The record is from RNAcentral.
GACGAACGCUGGCGGCGUGCCUAAUACAUGCAAGUCGAGCGGACAGACCCGGAUCUUGUGCCUCUGACGUGAGCGGCGGGCGGGUGAGUCACGCGUGGAUCACGUACUUGCAAGUCUGGUAUCACUUCGUGACUGCGGAGCUAACACCGGAUGAGAUAUUGCACCGCAUGGUGCGUUAGAGAAAGUCGGCUUUGCGGUCUGUAAUAGCGGCAUCCGCGCCGCAUUAGCUGGUUGGGAAGGUAACGGCUUACCAAGGCGACGAUGCGUAGCCGACCUGAGAGGGUGAUCGGCCACACUGGAACUGAACCACGGUCCAGACUCCUACGGGAGGCAGCAGUAGGGAAUCUUCCGCAAUGGGCGAAAGCCUGACGGAGCAACGCCGCGUGAGUGAUGAAGGUCUUCGGAUCGUAAAACUCUGUUAUUAGGGAAGAACAAAUGUGUAAGUAACUAUGCACGUCUUGACGGUACCUAAUCAGAAAGCCACGGCUAACUACGUG